CGGACGGGUGAGUAAUGUCUGGGGAAACUGCCUGAUGGAGGGGGAUAACUACUGGAAACGGUAGCUAAUACCGCAUAACGUCGCAAGACCAAAGAGGGGGACCUUAGGGCCUCUUGCCAUCGGAUGUGCCCAGAUGGGAUUAGCUAGUAGGUGGGGUAACGGCUCACCUAAGCGACGAUCCCUAGCUGGUCUGAGAGGAUGACCAGCCACACUGGAACUGAGACACGGUCCAG
This 233-nucleotide ribosomal RNA is filed under the name uncultured bacterium. RNAcentral describes it as "partial 16S ribosomal RNA". It matches the Rfam family "Bacterial small subunit ribosomal RNA", at positions 99 to 334 of the family's 1533-position model. The record is from RNAcentral.